Non-coding RNA from Pelobates cultripes (western spadefoot toad), 336 nucleotides. The record is from the annotation of a GenBank genome assembly. Lineage: Eukaryota; Metazoa; Chordata; Amphibia; Anura; Pelobatidae.
CUGCUAGUGAGUGAGCUUGUCUGUGUUGGUCUGCUAGUGAGUGAGCUUGUGUGUGUGUGCCUGCUAGUGAGUGAGCUUGUGUAUGUAUGUGCGCCUGCUAGUGAGUGAACUUGUGUGUAUGCCUGCUAGUGAGUGAGCUUGUGUGUGUGUCUGCUAGUGAGUGAGCUUGUGUGUGUGUGUGCCUACUAGUGAGUGACCUUGUGUGUGUGUGCCUGCUAGCAUGUGUGUGUGUGCCAGCUAGCAUGUGUAUGUCAGUGAGCUUGUUUGUGGUGAGCAUGUCUGUGUCAGUGAGCUUGUCUGUAGUGAGCAUAUGUGUGUUAGUAAGCUUUUCUGUGC